This 481-nucleotide ribosomal RNA is filed under the name uncultured bacterium. RNAcentral's name for it is "partial 16S ribosomal RNA". It matches the Rfam family "Bacterial small subunit ribosomal RNA", at positions 31 to 507 of the family's 1533-position model. The record is from RNAcentral.
GAACGCUGGCGGCAGGCCUAACACAUGCCAGUCGAGCGGAUGAAGGGAGCUUGCUCCUGGAUUCAGCGGCGGACGGGUGAGUAAUGCCUAGGAAUCUGCCUGGUAGUGGGGGAUAACGUCCGGAAACGGGCGCUAAUACCGCAUACGUCCUGAGGGAGAAAGUGGGGGAUCUUCGGACCUCACGCUAUCAGAUGAGCCUAGGUCGGAUUAGCUAGUUGGUGGGGUAAAGGCCUACCAAGGCGACGAUCCGUAACUGGUCUGAGAGGAUGAUCAGUCACACUGGAACUGAGACACGGUCCAGACUCCUACGGGAGGCAGCAGUGGGGAAUAUUGGACAAAGGGCGAAAGCCUGAUCCAGCCAUGCCGCGUGUGUGAAGAAGGUCUUCGGAUUGUAAAGCACUUUAAGUUGGGAGGAAGGGCAGUAAGUUAAUACCUUGCUGUUUUGACGUUACCAACAGAAUAAGCACCGGCUAACUUCGUG